UGGGGAAUAUUGGACAAUGGGGGGAACCCUGAUCCAGCAAUGCCGCGUGUGUGAAGAAGGCCUGAGGGUUGUAAAGCACUUUCAGUGGGGAGGAGGAUUUGGAGGUUAAGAGCUAUCAAAUUGGACGUUACCCACAGAAGAAGCACCGGCUAACUCCGUGCCAGCAGCCGCGGUAAUACGGAGGGUGCGAGCGUUAAUCGGAAUUACUGGGCGUAAAGGGUGCGUAGGUGGUUGAUUAAGUUAUCUGUGAAAUUCCUGGGCUUAACCUGGGCAUGUCAGAUGAUACUGGUUGACUUGAGUAUAGGAGAGGGUAGUGGAAUUUCCGGUGUAGCGGUGAAAUGCGUAGAGAUCGGAAGGAACACCGGUGGCGAAGGCGGCUACCUGGCCUAAUACUGACACUGAGGCACGAAAGCGUGGGGAGCAAACAGGAUUAGAUACCCCUGUAGUCC
Molecule: ribosomal RNA, 449 nt
Filed under: uncultured bacterium
Lineage: Bacteria
Description: bacterial SSU rRNA
Rfam family: Bacterial small subunit ribosomal RNA
Source: RNAcentral